Callithrix jacchus (white-tufted-ear marmoset) is the source of this 1603-nucleotide long non-coding RNA. NCBI's taxonomy places the organism in Eukaryota, Metazoa, Chordata, Mammalia, Primates, Cebidae. The record is from Ensembl.
CAUUCGUUGGUGUAAAUUCUUCUUUAUGUUGGUGUUCUUUACUUUUUGGUGUAUUUUUAGAAAGGCUAAUACUGGUUGUUUCUUUCUGUGUGUAAUGCUUCUUUCAGAAGCUCUUGUAAAGCAGGCCUGGUGGUAAUAAAAUCUCUGAGUUCUUGCUUGUUCAUAAAAGAUUUUAUUUUUCCUUCAGUUGUGAAGCUUAGUUUGGCUGGAUAUGAAAUUCUGGGCUGAAGGUUCUGUUCUUUGAGGAUGUUGAAUAUUGGCCCCCACUCUCUUCUGGCCUGUAGAGUUUCUGCCGAGAGAUCUGCUGUAAGUCUGAUAGGCUUGCCUUUGUGGGUAUUCUGACCUUUCUCUCUGGCUGCCCUUAGUAUCCUCUCCUUCGUUUCAACCCUGGUGAAUCUAACGAUUAUGUGCCUUGGGGUUGCUCUUCUUGAGGAAUAUCUUUGUGGUGUUCUCUGUAUUACCUGGGGUUGAAUGUUGACCUGCUUUGCUAGUUUAGGAAAAUUUUCCUGAAUAAUAUCCUGAAGGGUAUUUUCCAGCUUGGAUUCAUUCUCUCCGUCGCAUUCAGGUACACCUAUCAAACGUAAAUUUGGUCUUUUCACAUAGUCCCACAUUUCUUGGAGACUUUGCUCAUUCCUUUUUAUCCUUUUUUCUCUAAUCUUUUCUUCACGUUUUAUUUCAUUAAGUUGGACUUUGACCUCUGAUAUCCCUUCUUCUGCUUGAACAAUUCGAGUGUUUAAACCUGUGCAUACUUCUCGGAGUUCCUGUAUUGUAUUCUUCAGUUCCAUUAAUUCACUCAUACUCCUCUCUAAGUUGUCUAUUCUCAAUAGGAUUUCAUCAAACCUUUUUUCAAAUUCCUGUAUUGUAUUCUUCAGUUCCAUUAAUUCACUCAUACUCCUCUCUAAGUUGUCUAUUCUCAAUAGGAUUUCAUCAAACCUUUUUUCAAAGUUCCUAGUUUCUUUACAUUGGGCUACAACAUGUUCUUUUAACUCACCGAAGUUUGUUAUUAUCCAUUCCUUGAAGAAUGAUUCUGUCAUCAGGAGGCGCUCGUUCUCCAUCAAGCCUUGUUCCAUUGUUGAUGUGGAACUGUGAUCAUCUUUAGAGGGAGAGGCGUUCUGACUUUGAGUAUUCUCAGCUUUUUUACGCUGGUUUCUUCCUGUCAUUGUAAAUUUAUCCUCCUCUCGUCUUUGAAAUUACCAACUUUCAGAUUAGGUCUCUUGAGUGGACGUCCAGGUUGUUAGUUCCCAGGGCCAGAGCAGUGGCGUUAAAACUGAUGGUGCUUUUCUGCCCAGGAUUCUCCUGUCGGGCUUCCUUCUUGUUUCCGUAGUAGGCGACUGCCUUCCCGGGGCUCCAAACCUCGGUCAGAAGGGGAAGCGGUCCCGUUUACUCUGCUCCGAGAGCUGCCGCGCCAAGGUGCCGGCGGAACCGCUGCGCUGACCACGAGAGUCGCGCUGGCGACCCGUGUGUUUCCACCACUGGGGGAUCUUCUGCUCUGUGAGCGACCAGACUUUGUCUGAAAGUGUGGCGUCCUCUAGUUCUCCGCGCCUUCCCUGAGAGCUGCAAUCCCGGGAUGUUAGCGAUCGGCCAUCUUGGAUCGUUCUCAGUU